UUGGGACAAACUUUAUAAAAAUUCAGGUUUUAAGUGGGGAAUAUGUAUAUGUCGACAUAUACAUAUGCACAGAAAGAAGAAAAAGAAGUUUUCCCCACAACUCUCUAAAUCAAGGCAAUUGAAGAAGGAUUUGAAGCUAAAAUCAAUGCAUGAAUGAAGAUCCUUCACCAUCUAGCUUUAAUAGACAUGUGGUUGCACGAAAUUAACAUCAUUAUGGAGUCUAAGAGGUUGAAGACCGAGUCAAAGAGCAAGGAUUGUACGGGAAGAGCAGUCACAUGACUUGUAUUUAUAUAGUACAUUUGAUGCGUUAAUUAAGAAUGAAGGUUGUAAAUCUUUUCAAGAAAGUGUUUGACAUUUUAGAAAUGAACCUCCAAGUAUGUAAUAUCGAUAAGAAAGAAAGAAUUUUUGAGUCGGUA
Molecule: long non-coding RNA, 416 nt
Organism: Helianthus annuus (common sunflower)
Lineage: Eukaryota; Viridiplantae; Streptophyta; Magnoliopsida; Asterales; Asteraceae
Exons: 2
Source: RefSeq, a predicted model, not a curated record